Chaetomium sp. MPI-CAGE-AT-0009 is the source of this 86-nucleotide non-coding RNA. The record is from the annotation of a GenBank genome assembly. Lineage: Eukaryota; Fungi; Ascomycota; Sordariomycetes; Sordariales; Chaetomiaceae.
GGUUCUAUAGUGUAGUUGGUUAUCACUUCGGAUUCUGACCCUCACAAGUCUUUCCGGCGACCCCGGUUCGAGUCCGGGUAGGACCU